UGCUGGAGGACUAUCUAAAGAAAUUUAGGUGUACCACUGUUAGACAUAAAUAUGAAAAUUAGAAAAUUCUAUUUUAUUAUAGAAAUAGGGAGUUAUAUUUUUAUUUGGAUUAUAGGGCUAAAAUUUUAUGGGUUUUAGAAUUAGAAUUUUAUGAUAAUUUUAGUAUUUUAUUUUUAUAUGGACUCUUUCUAGACUUUUG
RNAcentral lists this long non-coding RNA (199 nucleotides) under Elaeis guineensis (African oil palm). RNAcentral describes it as "long non-coding RNA (EGUI_LNC009859)". Lineage: Eukaryota; Viridiplantae; Streptophyta; Magnoliopsida; Arecales; Arecaceae. The record is from RNAcentral.